AAUGAACGCUGGCGGCGUGCCUAACACAUGCAAGUCGAACGGACACACAAUGAGCUCUUGCUCCUACGGUUGGCGACUGACGGGCGAGUAAGGCAUAGAUCGCCUUCCUCUUUUUCUUGGAGGAUAUCGUGAAACAGGAGCUACUAAUGCCUCAUACAUUCUACUGCUGAGAGCAAUGGAGCUACGGACCUUUCGCGUCUCUAUGAGCUGAUUCCGGAUUAGCUAGUUGGCGUGGUAAAGUCCUACCAAGCCGACGCUACGUAGCCGAUCUGAGAGGGUGAUCAGCCACACUGGAACUGAGACACGGUCCAGACUCCUACGGGAGGCAGCAGUGGGGAAUAUUGGACAAUGGGCGGAAGCCUGACCGAGCAAUACCGCGUGGGUGAAGAAGGUCUUCGGGUUGUAAAGCUCUUUUGUUGGGAAAGAAAAGAAGUAGAUUAAUACCGGGACGUCUUGACGGUACCCAAUGAGUAAGCACCGGCUAACUACGUG
Molecule: ribosomal RNA, 492 nt
Filed under: uncultured bacterium
Lineage: Bacteria
Description: partial 16S ribosomal RNA
Rfam family: Bacterial small subunit ribosomal RNA
Source: RNAcentral